GAAUGGAGAGAGUUUAUGCAUUGCAGAUAUAACUAGUUAAGUUGAUAAAAACUUUUUUAAGAAUUUGGGCAGAACAAGGAUAAUGGCCAAGAUAAUAAAAACACAACAUGAGACGGAUGAAACAAGAUUUUGUAGUAUGUGAUGAAUAAAAAGUCAAGUAGUGUUUGAAAUAUAUGUGCCUAGUUCCCACACAUCAUUUUUCUGUUAUUUGAUACAAUCAGAAGCCCCAUGA
RNAcentral lists this long non-coding RNA (232 nucleotides) under Elaeis guineensis (African oil palm). Its description in RNAcentral is "long non-coding RNA (EGUI_LNC079744)". The record is from RNAcentral. Lineage: Eukaryota; Viridiplantae; Streptophyta; Magnoliopsida; Arecales; Arecaceae.